UACGUAGGGUGCGAGCGUUGUCCGGAAUUAUUGGGCGUAAAGGGCUCGUAGGCGGUUUGUCACGUCGGGAGUGAAAACUCAGGGCUCAACCCUGAGCCUGCUUCCGAUACGGGCAGACUAGAGGUAUGCAGGGGAGAACGGAAUUCCUGGUGUAGCGGUGAAAUGCGCAGAUAUCAGGAGGAACACCGGUGGCGAAGGCGGUUCUCCGGGCAUUACCUGACGCUGAGGAGCGAAAGUGUGGGGAGCGAACAGG
Molecule: ribosomal RNA, 253 nt
Filed under: uncultured bacterium
Lineage: Bacteria
Description: partial 16S ribosomal RNA
Rfam family: Bacterial small subunit ribosomal RNA
Source: RNAcentral